Molecule: ribosomal RNA, 797 nt
Filed under: Shigella sonnei
Lineage: Bacteria; Pseudomonadati; Pseudomonadota; Gammaproteobacteria; Enterobacterales; Enterobacteriaceae
Description: partial 23S ribosomal RNA
Rfam family: Bacterial large subunit ribosomal RNA
Source: RNAcentral
ACAUAUUGUGAGCUUGAUGAGUAGGGCGGGACACGUGGUAUCCUGUCUGAAUAUGGGGGGACCAUCCUCCAAGGCUAAAUACUCCUGACUGACCGAUAGUGAACCAGUACCGUGAGGGAAAGGCGAAAAGAACCCCGGCGAGGGGAGUGAAAAAGAACCUGAAACCGUGUACGUACAAGCAGUGGGAGCACGCUUAGGCGUGUGACUGCGUACCUUUUGUAUAAUGGGUCAGCGACUUAUAUUCUGUAGCAAGGUUAACCGAAUAGGGGAGCCGAAGGGAAACCGAGUCUUAACUGGGCGUUAAGUUGCAGGGUAUAGACCCGAAACCCGGUGAUCUAGCCAUGGGCAGGUUGAAGGUUGGGUAACACUAACUGGAGGACCGAACCGACUAAUGUUGAAAAAUUAGCGGAUGACUUGUGGCUGGGGGUGAAAGGCCAAUCAAACCGGGAGAUAGCUGGUUCUCCCCGAAAGCUAUUUAGGUAGCGCCUCGUGAAUUCAUCUCCGGGGGUAGAGCACUGUUUCGGCAAGGGGGUCAUCCCGACUUACCAACCCGAUGCAAACUGCGAAUACCGGAGAAUGUUAUCACGGGAGACACACGGCGGGUGCUAACGUCCGUCGUGAAGAGGGAAACAACCCAGACCGCCAGCUAAGGUCCCAAAGUCAUGGUUAAGUGGGAAACGAUGUGGGAAGGCCCAGACAGCCAGGAUGUUGGCUUAGAAGCAGCCAUCAUUUAAAGAAAGCGUAAUAGCUCACUGGUCGAGUCGGCCUGCGCGGAAGAUGUAACGGGGCUAAACCAU